This 449-nucleotide unclassified non-coding RNA is filed under the name Hevea brasiliensis (rubber tree). Lineage: Eukaryota; Viridiplantae; Streptophyta; Magnoliopsida; Malpighiales; Euphorbiaceae. The record is from RNAcentral.
GACUAUAAUUAUAUUAAUAUAUUUAUACCAUAUAAUAUCACGUAUUUGUAUCAUAUAAUCUUUUUAAUUAAAUAUUGUUUUAGAAAUUAUUAAUGAAAAAAUACGAAAUUUGUUUUUAUAUUCGCAAGUACAUACUCAAGGCUUUGGAUGGCAUACCAAAGUCAAGUUUAUGUAAACAUUAACUAAUCAUAUACUGCCAGGCCGUAGCAAUCACAACAUAAUAAUAAUAAUUACUAGAACUAGCUCUAGAAGUAACUACAGAUUGGAAAAGAAAAGGCCAAUUUGUUACUAGAUACUAGCUAAUAACAAAGAAUAACUAAUCAAUUAAUUAACUACCUAACCUAAUUUAAAAAAGAAGAAUACACCAUGUGAGAGUCCCACAUCGGUUGGGAAGACAAAGGAGGCCACCUGGUUUCCCUAUAAAAGAAAAGUCAAGAGUAGCAUUUGGC